GGACUACUGGGGUAUCUAAUCCUGUUUGCUCCCCACGCUUUCGUGCCUCAGUGUCAGUUACAGUCCAGAGAGCCGCCUUCGCAACUGGUGUUCCUCCUAAUAUCUACGCAUUUCACCGCUACACUAGGAAUUCCACUCUCCUCUCCUGCACUCAAGUUUCCCAGUUUCAAAGGCUUACUACGGUUGAGCCGUAGCCUUUCACCUCUGACUUAAGAAACCACCUACGCACCCUUUACGCCCAGUAAUUCCGGAUAACGCUAGCCCCCUACGUAUUACCGCGGCUGCUGGCAC
This 291-nucleotide ribosomal RNA is filed under the name uncultured bacterium. RNAcentral describes it as "partial 16S ribosomal RNA". The record is from RNAcentral.